RNAcentral lists this ribosomal RNA (517 nucleotides) under Amborella trichopoda. RNAcentral's name for it is "rRNA SSU_rRNA_eukarya". It matches the Rfam family "Bacterial small subunit ribosomal RNA", at positions 411 to 870 of the family's 1533-position model. The record is from RNAcentral. Lineage: Eukaryota; Viridiplantae; Streptophyta; Magnoliopsida; Amborellales; Amborellaceae.
AGAGCUUGUGUGCGCUACAAAGCCACUUCCAGACACCACGUUUCGGUUCGCUUUUUCAGUCAGGUUAACCUUGAUACACAAGCUACAUGAACUCCGCGCUAGCAGCCGAGGUAAUACGGGGGGGGCUAGCGUGAUUCGAAAUGAUUGGGCUACAAGGGCAUGUAGGCUGUCUAUAAUCUUCAUGUGGCAAGGUUGUUAUUUAGAAAGAUAGCCUUUGUGAAAUCCCUAAGUUUCUUUUAGGAAGCGCACUUGUUAACAAAAGAUAUAGACUUGAGCAAGCAAGAAGAGAGUGGAAUUCUUAGAGGAGAGGUUCAAUUUGUAGAUACUAGGAGGAACGCCUAAAGCGAAGGCAGCUCUCUAAUGCUUCACUGAUGCUGAUAUGCGAAAGCGUGGGGAGCGAAUGGGAUUAGAUACCCCAGUAGUCCACACCCUCAACCAUGAACACUAUCAAAUCAUUCAACAAACAGAAGGUUAUGUGAAGUAAUUUGGUGGUUGCAGCUAACGCGUUAAAUCUUCC